Molecule: long non-coding RNA, 531 nt
Organism: Rattus rattus (black rat)
Lineage: Eukaryota; Metazoa; Chordata; Mammalia; Rodentia; Muridae
Exons: 2
Source: RefSeq, a predicted model, not a curated record
AUUGACACUGCAGAGUAAGAUGAGCUGUAAAGAGUCCGCAAUUAUUCCGCACGUCAGUUUCUCCUUAGAGCGAAGCAACUCAGUGCAAUCAAGUGAAAAUGAGGUGAUUCCAGAAAGAGGACAACUGCACAGCUCCUGCUCAUGGUUACCACUCACUCUGCAAUCAUUAUGAAGGGCCCCCGUGGUACCCAGGCCGGGUACUAAAGAGAUGGACGGUCCACGAACUGGCCCCUCUGGCAGUCAAAGCCCAGAGGAGAGGGAGGCACAGGCCACACAGUGAGGUCUCUACUGAGAGGAAAACAGUGUGCCUGGUUAUCAGGAUCAAAGUCAUCUGCCUUCGGCAGUGGGAGGGUGAGACACUCUGCUGGUGAAAGGGGCAUCACUGUGACAGGUACUGGAUGGCACCAAGGAAUGGCUUUGAGAUCCAUUAGCGAGUCCCCUCACCAUCUAGCCACUAGAGAUAAAGUAGUUUCUAGGCAAAAGUAAUUAAAAAUGUUAUAUUUAAAAUAAAAAUUAUAUUUAUUUACUUCA